UGAGUACGAGAUGCUACGGCAUCGAAGCAGUCUAUGUCAUACUUCCAAGAAAAGCUUGCAAUGUCAUAAACAAAAUAAUGCCUGUACCAUAACCGACACAGGUGGGUAGGUAGAGUAUACUAAGGGGCGCGAGAUAACUCUCUCUAAGGAACUCGGCAAAAUGACUCCGUAACUUCGGGAGAAGGAGUGCCUUAUUUUUAUAAGGUUGCAAUAACAACAUCCAAGCAACUGUUUACCAAAAACACAGGUCUCCGCUAAGUCGUAAGACGAUGUAUGGGGGCUGACGCCUGCCCAGUGCCAGAAGGUUAAAGAAGUUGGUUAGCAUUAGCGAAGCUGAUAACUGAAGCCCUGGUGAACGGCGGCCGUAACUAUAACGGUCCUAAGGUAGCGAAAUUCCUUGUCGGGUAAGUUCCGACCCGCACGAAAGGUGUAAUGAUUUGGAUACUGUCUCGGAGAGGGGCUCGGUGAAAUAGACUUGUCUGUGAAGAUGCGGACUACCUGCACCUGGACAGAAAGACCCUAUGAAGCUUUACUGUAACUUGAGAUUGAAAUUGGACUUUAUCUGCGCAGUAUAGGUGGGAGACGUUGAAAAUAUUCUUGCGGGAAUAUUGGAGUCAUCAGUGAGAUACCACUCUUAUAAUGUUAGAUUUCUAACUUUGUAUCAUUAUCUGGUCAAAGAACAGUUUCAGGCGGGCAGUUUGACUGGGGCGGUCGCCUCCCAAACGGUAACGGAGGCGCACAAAGGUUUCCUCUGAACGUGUAGAAAUCGUAUCUAGAGUGUAAAGGCAUAAGGAAGCUUGACUGUGAGACCUACAAGUCGAGCAGGGACGAAAGUCGGUCUUAGUGAUCUGACGGUGCUGAGUGGAAAGGCCGUCACUCAACGGAUAAAAGUUACUCUAGGAUAACAGGCUGAUCUCCCCCAAGAGUUCACAUCGACGGGGAGGUUUGGCACCUCGAUGUCGGCUCAUCGCAUCCUGGGGCGGUAGUACGUCCCAAGGGUUGGGCUGUUCGCCCAUGAAAGCGGUACGCGAGCUGGGUUCAGAACGUCGUGAGACAGUUCGGUCCAUAUCCGGUGUAGGCGUUAGAAUAUUGAGAGGAGCCUUCUUUAGUACGAGAGGACCGAGAAGGACAUACCUCUGGUGUACCAGUUAUCGUGCCAACGGUAAACGCUGGGUAGCCAUGUAUGGAGAGGAUAACCGCUGAAAGCAUCUAAGUGGGAAGCCCACCUCAAGAUAAGUAUUCUC
RNAcentral lists this ribosomal RNA (1244 nucleotides) under metagenome. Its description in RNAcentral is "bacterial LSU rRNA". It matches the Rfam family "Bacterial large subunit ribosomal RNA", at positions 1564 to 2815 of the family's 2925-position model. The record is from RNAcentral.